Molecule: small RNA, 89 nt
Filed under: Lingulaulax polyedra
Lineage: Eukaryota; Dinophyceae; Gonyaulacales; Lingulodiniaceae
Description: Lingulodinium polyedra partial Cyanobacteria transfer-messenger RNA
Source: RNAcentral
UACCGCCAGUUUUUCCCUCGUAAUGUGGCUGGCAGCGCUUGGAAAAGGGGGGGGUACUCCAGCCUUGACAACCUAAUGAGGCAAUGGUA